UCAGCCGGAAGUGACUGUAGGCGGAAUGGUUGCCAUGGCAGCGGCCGGGGCGCUUGGCUGGGCGCAGGGAAGAUGGCGGUAACCGGUUGGUUGGAGAGUCUCCGGACCGCCGAGAAGACGGCGCUGCUGCAGGACGGGAGAAGGAAGGUGCACUAUUUGUUCCCAGAUGGAAAGGAAAUGGCCGAAGAAUACGAUGAGAAGUCAGGCGAGCUACUUGUGAGAAAGUGGCGUGUGAAAAGUGCCCUGGGAGCCCUGGGCCAGUGGCAGAUUGAGGUGGGAGAGCCAGCACUCCCAGGAGCAGGGAGCCUGGGGCCUGAAUUCAUCAAGGAAAACAAUGCCAAUCCCAUCUUCAUGCGCAAGGACACCAAGAUGAAUUUCCAGUGGCGGAUUCGAAACCUCCCCUACCCUAAGGAUGUCUACAGUGUCUGUGUGGACCACAAAGAGCGCUGCAUCGUUGUCAGAACCACCAACAAAAAGUACUACAAGAAAUUCUCCAUUCCUGACCUAGACAGACACCAGCUACCUCUGGAUGAGUCCUCGCUGAGCUUUGCUCAUGCCAACUGCACGCUGAUCAUCUCUUACCAGAAGCCAAAGGAGAUCCUGGUGGCUGAGGCAGAGCUUCAGAAGGAGCUAAAGAAAGUGAAGACAGCCCACAGCAGUGAUGGGGACUGGACCUCCACCAUUAAAAGCCUUUCACGUAAAGGGAGGCAUGAGUCUUAGAUGGAGCAGAGGUGGGGGAAGCUCAGAGUUGACGCAAACAGGUUGGGGAAGAUGCCCGCUCGGCGCUGCUGGGCUCAGAGGAAGACUGGGCUGGAAGAGACCCUGUGCCACCUUAGCUUGCAGAAGUGGCCCAGAUGAAUUCCCUAAGGGAAAGAUAAAGACAGAUGGGGCCACCCCUGUGAGCCUAAGAAGGAGGGCAGGCCUGGGGCGGACAGCCGGAAGGAGACGUGGCCCUGAGGCCAGGCUGUGUGCAGCAUUCCCUGGGAGCACCCCAAGUGGGCAGAAGGAGCAAGCAGAGGGUGGCCUCAUCCCAGGGACCCUUGAAGGGGGGUGAUCAGAUGUGGAAACCAAGGCCCAGAGUGCCCCCCACCCAUAUCACAGAGCUAAGAAGCGGCAGAGUUAGUUCGAGAACCCAAGUCUGUCUGACCACACAGCCUGUGUGCCCUCCGUAGCUCCUCACAGCCUCCCAUCACACACCAGAGGAGGGGUUCCUUGGCCUCAGCCCCACGCAGAAGCAAGAAGUUUGCAGGUGGCAGGAGUUUGGCAGGGGAGUCACGGAACAACAUUCACAGACUGCAGGCGCUCCAACGUCCCAGAGGCUACAGGACAAAGGAUCCCUUGGAAGUUUUAGCUGAGCUGUGCCGACAACAGUAUGAUGUGACCAUCAGCUACACUAACAAAAGCAAAAGAUCUAGAAUAAGGAGGGGAUAGCGCCUGCCACUCAUCAUCUCACACCCAGCAUGUUCAGUACUCAGUUACGAACAUCCCAUUUCAAGAGGGAUCCAACCAGAUAAAUGCAAGAAACUUUCAGGUGAGAAUGGUCCUAAAACGAGUGUGAGACCCACACAGUAGGGUCACCCUCCCAGCUACUCCUCACUUACUUUCUUGCUGACCCAAAUCUGAUUCCGUGCCCACUGCUCCCAUCCUCCUUGCCACUAUGCACGUGGGGGAAGCUGGGCUCUUCCCCAGACCCAGGUCAAUCUUGACUGGUGAUUCCAUUUCCCUUGCCACGGUUUGGUUCAGGGUGAGUAACGGAAUACACUUUUGGCUCACUCAAUAUGAGGAGUCUGCUUGGGGGCUCCUAUAAAAGGACUCCCCAUCUUAAAAAGAGACCCAGGCAGGGACAAGUCCUCUUCCUUCCUUUCUCCCUCUGGGUAUUUUGCCUUAUGAGCAGGUAGAGCUUUUGUGAACAAGCCUGAGGAUAAGGGCAAAACCCACGUUGACAGAGGGGGCAAAGUGGAAAGCUGAGAAGAUGGGCCCUCAGCCUCUCGCUGAGCUACUGCACCCGUCAAUCCUGGAACCAGCAAAGCUUCCAGCUCCUGGGGACUCCUUGUCACUUACGAUAAUAAUAAUCUCUUUAUUGUUGGAGCCACUUUGAAGUAGGCCCUCAAUACUUCCAGCCAAAAGCACCCUAACUGAUGUACUAUGUGUAUAAGCAACAGAAGGGCCUCAGACUUUCAGCCUGAUAAAGAGAAGACACUGGAGAAACAGGACCAAAGUUUUCAGAUAUUUAAAGCCCUGUCUUCGGAGGCAAGGUUCAACUUGCUUCUUGCCUAGAAUCAUAGCCCCUGGAAGCAGGUGAACUCUCGAUGAAGGACAGGUGUGAUAACUCUCAGGGCUCUCCAAAGAUGCAAUGUGGUGUCUGGGAGAGUUGCGAGUUUCCUAUAUCUGUGGUUGGAUGACCGUUAAGAGAAUGUUGUAGAAAAAACCAUAUUUAACUAAAACAGCUCACGUGUUAAAAAAGAAAAAAUCUUUUGGAAAGACUGACAAUACAUUGGAUUUUUCAGGGGGCAAAAAGAUGGGUACCACUUUCCUGGGGAUACAGAGAGGAAAGGAGACAUGCUAGAGUCACUGAGGCAGGAGACAGACAAGAACAGAACAUCCUCGCUGCUGCUGUAGAUCAUGGUGCUGAACCAGAGCACGGGACCUGGGGCCAGGUGCAGACGGUCUUAGACUUGACCCCACAAGCACAAUUGACAAAAAAAAAAAAUAAUUUGGACGCCAUCAAAAUGUAAAACUUUGGUCUUUUAUCCUGUUAAGAGGAUAAAAAGACAAGCUCCAGACUUAAAGAUAGAGGCAAACCACAUAUCUGACAAAGGAUUCAUUUCUAGAAUAUAUAAAGAACUCCGCAAACUUACCAGUGAAAAAGCAAACUGUUCAAUUAGAAAAUCGCCAAAAGACAUGAGCAGAGAUUCCACCAAAGAGAACAUACAGAAGGCAAAUACACACACGAAAAGAUGUCAUUGGCUCUUACGGAAAUUCAAAUUAAAGCCACAAGAUACCACACCUCUUGGAAUAGCUAAGACAAGAAAGAGCGGCAAUUCCAAAUGCUGUCAAGGAUGGGAAGAAACUACAUCUCUCAUACCCUGGAGUUGGAUUAUAAAAUGGUAAAUGUAUUCACAAUAGUUUGACAGGUAAAAAAUUAAACACACACUUACCAAAUGACCUGGCACUUGGACUCUGGGGCAUUUAUCCCAGAGAAAUGAAAACAUGUGUCCACACAAAAGAUUAUAUGCAAAUGUUCACGAGAGCUUAAUUUGCAAUAGUCAAAAAAUUGAACACAACCCAAAUGUCCUUCAGUGGAUGAAUGCUGUUCAGUGGGAGAGAACUUUGGGGCGUCCACACCAGGGAAUACUACUGAGCAAUAAAAAGGAAGGCGCCAUUGAUACAUAGGACGAGUGCUAUGGCUCUCAUGAGAACUAUGCUGGGUUAACGGGGGUGGGGACCAAAUCACAAAAGGUAUUCCACUUAUAUAACACCUCCAAGCUGCCAGAAGUAAAGAGGUGGAAAACAUGUAAGUGGCUGCGAGAGGUUAGAGACGAGGGAGUUUAAGAGGGCAGGGGAGGAAGAUGGUGUGGCUGUACGUGGGCAAGUGGGGAAUCCGCCAGUUCUGUAUCCUAACUGUUGUAGUAGUUACGUGAAUCUACACAUGGGAUAAAAUUGCAAAGAACCACACACACACACACACACACACACACACACACAGAAAUGAGUGCAAUCUGAAUAAAGGUCUGUGGAUUAUACCAAUGUCAAUUUCCUGGUUCUGAUUAUAAUAUAAUAUAAUAUAAUAUAAUAUAAUAUAAUAUAAUAUAGAAAUUACUUAUAAAUAAUUGAUAUCAAAUUUAUAUUUAUUAUAUUAUCUAACAUAACACAGGUACCUUGCUGUCCUAUUUUUGGAACUUCCUAUGAAUCUCUAUUUCAAAAUAAAAAGCUUUAAAAAAUCCAACAGAAUGGUAGACAAUCUGAUGGGAACGUGUCAAGCUUACCAAGGCAGAGAGUUGUGAAUAAAACCUGGACGUAUUUUAA
RNA transcript from Leopardus geoffroyi (Geoffroy's cat), 4026 nucleotides. It is a transcript of the gene named deleted in primary ciliary dyskinesia homolog (mouse), with no coding region annotated. The record is from RefSeq and is a predicted model, not a curated record. NCBI's taxonomy places the organism in Eukaryota, Metazoa, Chordata, Mammalia, Carnivora, Felidae. The transcript is spliced from 9 exons.